AACGAACGCUGGCGGCAUGCCUAACACAUGCAAGCCGAACGAGACCUUCGGGUCUAGUGGCGCACGGGUGCGUAACGCGUGGGAACCUGCCCUUAGGUUCGGAAUAACUCCCCGAAAGGGGUGCUAAUACCGGAUAAUGUCUUCGGACCAAAGAUUUAUCGCCUUUGGAUGGGCCCGCGUUGGAUUAGCUAGUUGGUAGGGUAAAAGCCUAUCAAGGCGACGAUCCAUAGCUGGUCUGAGAGGAUGAUCAGCCACACUGGGACUGAGACACGGCCCAGACUCCUACGGGAGGCAGCAGUGGGGAAUAUUGGACAAUGGGCGAAAGCCUGAUCCAGCAAUGCCGCGUGAGUGAUGAAGGCCUUAGGGUUGUAAAGCUCUUUUACCCGGGAUGAUAAUGACAGUACCGGGAGAAUAAGCUCCGGCUAACUCCGUG
Molecule: ribosomal RNA, 433 nt
Filed under: uncultured bacterium
Lineage: Bacteria
Description: partial 16S ribosomal RNA
Rfam family: Bacterial small subunit ribosomal RNA
Source: RNAcentral